This 253-nucleotide ribosomal RNA is filed under the name uncultured bacterium. RNAcentral describes it as "partial 16S ribosomal RNA". It matches the Rfam family "Bacterial small subunit ribosomal RNA", at positions 524 to 776 of the family's 1533-position model. The record is from RNAcentral.
GACGAACCGUGCGAACGUUGUUCGGAAUCACUGGGCUUAAAGGGCGCGUAGGCGGGUCACCAAGUCCGGGGUGAAAUCUUUCGGCUUAGCCGGAAAACAGCCUUGGAUACUGGUGACCUCGAGGGAGGUAGGGGUCUGCGGAACUUCUGGUGGAGCGGUGAAAUGCGUUGAUACCGGGAGGAACACCCGCGGCGAAGGCGGUUCUCUGGGAAUAUUCUGACGCUGAGGAGCGAAAGUGUGGGGAGCGAACAGG